CAGCGAGCAGCUGGAUCUGAGCUGGGGCCGACACCGGGUGCAGCAGAACGCCACAUACAAGAGGCGCCGGCCACUCCACGUGGACUCUGGGGCUGUGUGAGCUGCCCAGGGACCUCUCUGUCUCCGGCGCGCUCAGCCUGGGCCCCGGGCAGCUCCUGCUGCGUUCCCACUGCCAUCUGGGCCUCGCUCCGGACUUGGACCAUGGCCUGAAUCUCAGCCUGACCCUCUACAACCACAGCAGGCCCCAUGCAUCUGACUUCUCUGGGGAGCUGGAACUCCGAGGCCCCACGGCCCAGUGGGUUGGCCUGCAGGGUUGGCUCUCCACCUCAGCUUCCCAAACCCUGGCCCAGCUGGAGGGCAGCACGAACAGAGCAGAGGAGAAGAGAAGGUGAGGCUGGCUGUGUCACGCAUCCCCAGCUGCCUCCAAGCCUCCGUGGCCCCCGAGGAUGGUACCAUUGCUCCCGACAUGGGCUGUUAUACAGAAGAUAUUUAAAGACUCCAACGAUGCAACUACAAACCAACCUGGUUCACAAUGGCCCAAAGGACUGAAAGAGACGGUUCUCCAAAAAUAAAUAAAUAAAU
This 582-nucleotide long non-coding RNA is filed under the name Heterocephalus glaber (naked mole-rat). Its description in RNAcentral is "lncRNA (ENSHGLG00100035643.1)". The record is from RNAcentral. Lineage: Eukaryota; Metazoa; Chordata; Mammalia; Rodentia; Bathyergidae.